CUAAAAAUUGGGUUUUAAACUGUUGAUCUUUUGCGGAAUAUUUAAUGCAUCGUGAUGAAAACCCUUAAUGUUGUGCUCCACAUGAAAAACACACUUCUGCACCAAAAUCAGGUACACUUUAUUGGUAUUUCGAGGUGUUAUUGCACUUCAUAAUGCAAGGAAUUAGAUAGAUACCCUUAACUAAACACAGUGUCUAGGAUUUAAACUCAAAUGCCGACUUGUACGCUUUUUUUGCUAGGCCCGUUUCAAAUGUUGUAUUAACGUCGUGUCAAACUCAAUUCCCUUAUGUCCUUACAGUUGAAUUAGUAAAACAUGCGGAGUUCAAUACCAAGUCACGCUUAUGUAGUGUAGCUCGACCGAAAGACCAAAUAGAAGAGUCGAGUUAAAAUAGAUUUUGGAUGAAACGUCGCGCGCGUUCGAGCCAACGCUGCCACUGAGUUUGAACAGGGCCUGAGAAUCUCAUCGCUUUAUGAGGGCCUCUCUUAACCUAAAAGUAGUAACACAAUGUUCUAGUUACAAAAAAUCUGAAGACUACUAAAAUAGUGUCACAGCACCCUUUGAGACGAUGGUUUAUGAAAUACCGAAUUCGCCACUAUGAAGUACCGUUGUUUUGACCUCGAUUGAUCCCUUACCGUGUCAUUAUUGAGAUGAAUAAUCUCCACAAAAACAUUGUGAAACUUUCUGUCAUCUCCAUAUUCCAAUCUGAUCCGUUCCAAUCCGGGUUUUAUCAACACCGUUUGCAAGUAGCCUGCGUGCAGCCGGAAAUAGUUCCAGAGGUUAAGCUUGCGUUUACCAGAUGUACGCAGGCUAUUUGCCAAUAGCCACUAUCGAAUCCCAUCGAGCAUGGGCAAAAUUAUUUUUGCAGUUACCAUGAGAAGCCACUUUGAGCUCCUCUGAACUCUCUCUGUAAAAGCGCUUGCUUGAGGUUAGUAGCAGAUUUGUAGCUUAUUGAGGCUAAAGUUUAUUUUGCUGUAAAUAGGACUAUUAAAAUACCAGAAGACCGAUACUCCAGAAUUUUACUACAUAAGUUAAUACAAGGCCAAGACAAUCAAUGACAGCACUCAUUUCAAUAAGAAACAUGUGUCGAUCAGCUUCGAACUUCUGCAAUCUUGAAAGACAACUUCUACUUUAACAAUUCAUUCUUAUUUUGUUUAUGCGAUGGUAUUAAGUGUGAGCAUUUUGUUGUCAAAGGUUCUGGAAAUCUGAUAGCUUGAGUUUCAAAACAUUACCUUAUUUGUAAAUCCAUCUCUAACAGCUGUCACACCUCUCAAUAAAACAGGCUCAUAACCAGUUUUCAAUCGUGUAAACCAAAAGGUAGGCAAAAUACAGAGAAAAGAGGCCUACUAGCAGGGAAAUUUGCAUGCUCAACGGGAUUUAAUAUCAACAGAGAGUUUUCUCCUCUAGACACAAACAAACAAGAAUAUGUAAGAACAGAGAUGCAACAUGGCCCGGGGUGGUCAAGGGUAUAAAAUUCUUACCAACUGCCAUCUCUUAGGGAGUGUUUUAGGAUUUUUUUCCGAUUCUGCUAUCUCUUAGGGGUUUUAAUGCCCGGGGAGUAGGAUUUUUCCGACUCUGCUAUCUUUUAGGGUGUCGCACGCUUAAUGGUGGCCUAAUCGCUCAAUUGUAUAAUUACAAUAAAUACAAGUCAAUUGGUUGAUACUUCCAACCUUAUUGUCGAUAACACAAUAAUACAGGAUCCAUCAGCCAAUUUAAACAAGCAUUGUUUUAUUAAUGCUAUCUCUCAGGAUAAAAAAUUCCUUUGACCGUUAAAAAUUGUUGUUGACCACGCCCUUAGUGCUAUCCUUUAGGGUUAAAAUUGAUUUUGCUGUCAAGCAUCCCAUCUGUUUUUCUUGAAUUCCCUCCCCCCUGGGCUCAGUGUUCAGCCGAGCGUACCUAUUGUCCAACGGCGUCGGUCAAGGAGUAAAAUGGCUGCUUACUCGUUUUAAAAAAUGGCUAGCGGCCAGGGAAAAUGAUUUAGCUCGGAUGUUUUGCCACAUAUCGAAUGUAUGAGUACUGUUUUGGCCUCUCUUCCCUAGGACCAAUGCUUUAUGUGGUUAAGAUGGACAUACUGGCUCCCAGGUGAUACCCCAAGAUUUUGGUUUUGGAGGAAUCAUUGCAGAAAUAACCCUAAAUACCUAAAUGGAUGUGUCUCAUACCCUUUAAAGAUGUCAAUAGAAAACAAAGCAAAACACUAUUAUAUGAACUCUUUACAAUUUACUCAUUUUUUUAAAAGCAUCUAUCAACAAAUAUGCACACCCAUAUGAUAAUUAACCUGAUAAUUUGACCCAAAA
Nematostella vectensis (starlet sea anemone) is the source of this 2291-nucleotide long non-coding RNA. RefSeq lists it as uncharacterized. The record is from RefSeq and is a predicted model, not a curated record. The transcript has 2 exons. Lineage: Eukaryota; Metazoa; Cnidaria; Anthozoa; Actiniaria; Edwardsiidae.